Gallus gallus (chicken) is the source of this 1607-nucleotide long non-coding RNA. Lineage: Eukaryota; Metazoa; Chordata; Aves; Galliformes; Phasianidae. The record is from Ensembl.
AGGUUCUGUUCUUUGAUCAUCACUGUUCUCCAUACUCUCCACUGUUCUCCAGCCUGAACCAGGGAAAAAGCACAUUGGAUAUCAGGAAGAAGUUCUUUCAUGGGCACUGGAACAGGCUGCCAAGGCAGUGGUCAUGAUAUCAAGAUGCCAAAGGUCAAGUAGCACUUGUUUGGACAGUGCUCUCAGAGCAGAUUUCCUUCCUCAAAAGUAAUUGGCAGGUGCUCACAAAGUUAUGAAUCCAGCUCAGCUCACAACAUUCCGAGUGGCAACUGGCAAUGGAAGUGGAAGAAACUAGCAUGUUUUCUUGGGAUGUUUACUUUUUAUAAAUCUCCUUAUAACUGUAUUAAAAAAUAAUCAGACAUUACUCAAGACUAACGAGUAGCUGUAUUAGCCCAAACUAUUUCCCUGGAAAAAUGCUCAAAGGUACAUUUAUGUUUCUAUGAUCCUAGAAAGCCAGAGGCCAGUUUAGUUUUUCUUAUGAGUAAGACUAGCUUGAGGUUAUCCAAAUUUGCACAGCAAUCUAUAACUCCAGCACUCAAACUGUUUUGCCAAUACUAAUGCUGCUUCUUGUGACCUUUCACUGUUGGUGCUGGUGGUGUAGCCAUGAUUGCUUAAAUAUAAAAUAACUAUAAUAUAAACACAGAGAGGCAAUAGUUGUAUAGUUGAACUAACCUGUAGAAUUGGAGGAAAGAAAAUGCUUCUAAAUGUUAAUUCAUUACAGGGCAACUCUUAGCAUACCUCUGCCCCAGAGAAAAGUUGGGGGAGGACAGAGUGAAGCAAAACUGAUAAACAAAAUAAUCUCACUUGGUAGCUUGUACUGUCUUGAAUUUCUGUCAGCUGAAGAGUACCUCUACCACAGUUAUUUGCAACACUUCAGUGCUAUCUGGAUAUCAAAUGAAGCUGUUAAUCCUGGUCAGAACAUUUAUUUAACUUGUUUGAUAAACACCAUUAAGAGUGAAUCAGUGAUGCUUCUGAGGACACUGCAGUGGUCCAGCCCUGCCCCACUGGAUGUGACACUGUUUACUUAUCAACUGCGUAAUGUUCUAUCCUUUUGCAUUCACAGAUUCAAUGAAGCAUAAGAAUUGAUCAGUUACUUAUUUGUUUAUUUUUCAUAGCUUGUUACUGCCAGUCAUAUAAUUAAUCAUUUCUUUUUAAAAUCCAUUAGGAAAGUUUUAUUCUUAGACCCUCUAUUGCUGACACUUGCACAUCCUGACUACAGGGUAUGCAAAGAAGUAGCCUGGAGUACCCUACAAACAAACAAACAAACAAAUGAAAAAACAGUGAUGGCAAAAACACCAAUACUUCAGAUGCCAAGCUUAGUCAAUUAUGAAUUGAAUAAUAGAAUCGAAAGCAAGAGUCUAGAAUUGGUGAGCAGGAAUAUCUCUUUUGAUCUGUAUUUCGAGGUUUUUAUUCUUUCUAAAUUUAACUAACUCUAAUCAUGGAAGAAACGGUAUUUUUGUACUUUAUAUCUUUCCAGGAACCAGCUGGCAUUGUAAUCCAAGUACUAUUUUUUACAAUACCAGGAUCAAUACUGAAAAUGGGAGAAGUAAUAAGCACUUUCCCAUAAAGUCAGAACACCAUCUACCAAAUAAUAAAUAGGCUGAACC